GGUUAUUUAGUUUAAGUAAAAUGUAGGUUUUGUAAUCCUAUGAUAACGUUUGUUGAUAACCU
This 62-nucleotide transfer RNA is filed under the name Dilepis undula. RNAcentral's name for it is "tRNA-Thr". It matches the Rfam family "tRNA". From Rfam's summary of the family: Transfer RNA (tRNA) molecules are approximately 80 nucleotides in length. Their secondary structure includes four short double-helical elements and three loops (D, anti-codon, and T loops). Lineage: Eukaryota; Metazoa; Platyhelminthes; Cestoda; Cyclophyllidea; Dilepididae. The record is from RNAcentral.